AGUUAUAAACAUACACAGCCUGUUGGGUAGAACACGUUUCCAGAAUCGUGAGAAAUGGCGCUCAAAUCGCAGCGGAACGGACUCCCAGGCCUGAGGCCAUUUCUCACGGAACGGUCCCCUUCUUGAAACGUAUUCUACCCAAGAGGCUGUGUAUGUUUAUAAC
This 163-nucleotide microRNA precursor is filed under the name Chlamydomonas reinhardtii. Lineage: Eukaryota; Viridiplantae; Chlorophyta; Chlorophyceae; Chlamydomonadales; Chlamydomonadaceae. The record is from RNAcentral.